RNAcentral lists this ribosomal RNA (458 nucleotides) under uncultured bacterium. Its description in RNAcentral is "SSU rRNA". It matches the Rfam family "Bacterial small subunit ribosomal RNA", at positions 26 to 518 of the family's 1533-position model. The record is from RNAcentral.
AGAAUCAACGCUGGCGGCGUGCCUAACACAUGCAAGUCGCACGAGAAAGGGUAGCAAUACCUGAGUACAGUGGCGCACGGGUGAGUAACACGUGAAUAAUCUACCUCCGAGUGGGGAAUAACUGAGAGAAAUCUUAGCUAAUACCGCAUAAUACCCACGGGUCAAAGCAGCAAUGCGCUUGGAGAGGAGUUCGCGGCAGAUUAGUUAGUUGGCGGGGUAAUGGCCCACCAAGACGAUGAUCUGUAUCCGGCCUGAGAGGGCGCACGGACACACUGGAACUGAAACACGGUCCAGACUCCUACGGAGGCAGCAGUGGGGAAUUUUGCGCAAUGGGGGAAACCCUGACGCAGCAACGCCGCGUGGAGGAUGAAGCCCCUUGGGAUGUAAACUCCUUUCGAUCGGGAAGAUAAUGACGGUACCGAGAGAAGAAGCCCGGCUAACUUCGCGCCAGCAGCCGC